Molecule: long non-coding RNA, 246 nt
Filed under: Elaeis guineensis (African oil palm)
Lineage: Eukaryota; Viridiplantae; Streptophyta; Magnoliopsida; Arecales; Arecaceae
Description: long non-coding RNA (EGUI_LNC052100)
Source: RNAcentral
CAGCUUCCGAGACAAGCCCAAGGGGAUAGCGUUUGCCCCAGUGAGGACCGACUGGAGGUGUCUGAUAUCUUAACGCCAAGAGGUAGCAGAUCCUCUAAGAUGCAGCCAUCUAUUCUUCCCAAAUCUUCCUCGCACAAUUUCGAGUCACCCAGCACUCGCCAUCCACUUCCAGUUCCAAUGGUGAAUGAGGGAAAUAAAGGUGUCGACAGAUGGCUUUUUAGUCAGAGUUCAGUAGGGUAAGGAUUC